This 297-nucleotide ribosomal RNA is filed under the name uncultured bacterium. Its description in RNAcentral is "partial 16S ribosomal RNA". It matches the Rfam family "Bacterial small subunit ribosomal RNA", at positions 1081 to 1382 of the family's 1533-position model. The record is from RNAcentral.
GUAGUCCGCACGAGCGCACCCACGUUUUUAGUUGCCAGCAUUCAGUUGGGCACUCUAAAGAGACUGCCGGUGACAAACCGGAGGAAGGUGUGGACGACGUCAAGUCAUCAUGCCCCUUACGCCUUGGGCUACACACGUACUACAAUGCUGCGGACAAAGAGUAGCGAUCUUGCGAAAGUUAGCUAAUCUCGUAAACCGUGGCUCAGUUCAGAUCGUAGGCUGCAACUCGCCUACGUGAAGGAGGAAUCGCUAGUAAUCGCAGGUCAGCAUACUGCGGUGAAUACGUUCCCGGGCCUU